UCCGGUUUGUCACCGGCAGUCUCAUUAGAGUGCCCUUUCGUAGCAACUAAUGACAAGGGUUGCGCUCGUUGCGGGACUUAACCCAACAUCUCACGACACGAGCUGACGACAGCCAUGCAGCACCUGUGUUCCGGUUCCCUUUCGGGCACACCCAGCUCUCACCGGGCUUCCAGACAUGUCAAGGGUAGGUAAGGUUGUUCGCGUUGCAUCGAAUUAAUCCACAUCAUCCACCGCUUGUGCGGGUCCCCGUCAAUUCCUUUGAGUUUUAACCUUGCGGCCGUACUCCCCAGGCGGUCAACUUCACGCGUUAGCUACGGUACUCAGGAAUCGCUUCCCGAACACCCAGUUGACAUGGUUUAGGGCGUGGACUAC
RNAcentral lists this unclassified non-coding RNA (372 nucleotides) under uncultured Gammaproteobacteria bacterium. RNAcentral's name for it is "contains 16S-23S intergenic spacer region". Lineage: Bacteria; Pseudomonadati; Pseudomonadota; Gammaproteobacteria. The record is from RNAcentral.